Molecule: ribosomal RNA, 371 nt
Filed under: uncultured bacterium
Lineage: Bacteria
Description: bacterial SSU rRNA
Rfam family: Bacterial small subunit ribosomal RNA
Source: RNAcentral
GGAGGGUGCGAGCGUUGUUCGGAAUCGUUGGGCGUAAAGGGGGUGUAGGUGGGCUGUUAAGUCAUGUGUGAAAGCCCUCAGCUUAACUGGGGAAGUGCGCAUGAAACUGACAGGCUAGAGUACCGAAGAGGAAGGUGGAAUUCCCGGUGUAGCGGAGAAAUGCGUAUAUAUCGGGAGGAACACCGGUGGAGAAGGCGGUCUUCUGGUCGGAUACUGACGCUAAAACGCGAAAGCGUGGGGAGCAAACAGGAUUAUAUACCCUGGUAGUCCACGCUGUAAACGAUGGGCACUAGGUGUCCGGGGUAUUGACCCCCUGGGUGCCGCAGCUAACGCAUUAAGUGCCCCGCCUGGGGAGUACGGUCGCAAGAUUA